AAGAGCCCAAACCAAGAAGCUUGCUUCUUGGGGUUGUAGGACACUCUAUACGGAGUUACAAAAGAAAGUUAUAAAUGAAGCGGUCUGGAAAGGCCCGCCAAAGACGGUAACAGCCCGGUAGUUGAAAUGGCUUUCCCUCCAGAGUGGAUCCUGAGUACGGCGGAACACGUGAAAUUCCGUCGGAAUCCGGGAGGACCAUCUCCCAAGGCUAAAUACUCCCUAGUGACCGAUAGUGAACCAGUACCGUGAGGGAAAGGUGAAAAGCACCCCGGAAGGGGAGUGAAACAGUUCCUGAAACCGUGUGCCUACAAGUAGUUAGAGCCCGUUAAUGGGUGAUAGCGUGCCUUUUGUAGAAUGAACCGGCGAGUUACGAUUUGUUGCAAGGUUAAGCGGAAAAAGCGGAGCCGUAGCGAAAGCGAGUCUGAAUAGGGCGCAUAAGUAACAGGUCGUAGACCCGAAACCAGGUGAUCUACCCAUGUCCAGGAUGAAGGUAAGGUAAUACUUACUGGAGGUCCGAACCCACGCACGUUGAAAAGUGCGGGGAUGAGGUGUGGGUAGCGGAGAAAUUCCAAUCGAACUUGGAGAUAGCUGGUUCUCUCCGAAAUAGCUUUAGGGCUAGCCUCGAGGUAAAGAGUCAUGGAGGUAGAGCACUGUUUGGACUAGGGGCCCUUCUCGGGUUACCGAAUUCAGAUAAACUCCGAAUGCCAUGUACUUAUACUCGGGAGUCAGACUGCGAGUGAUAAGAUCCGUAG
RNAcentral lists this ribosomal RNA (752 nucleotides) under Listeria monocytogenes. Its description in RNAcentral is "partial 23S ribosomal RNA". It matches the Rfam family "Bacterial large subunit ribosomal RNA", at positions 263 to 1010 of the family's 2925-position model. The record is from RNAcentral. Lineage: Bacteria; Bacillati; Bacillota; Bacilli; Caryophanales; Listeriaceae.